GGGGGUGUACCGGUUUCGACGGAUGCGCGAAUCCCUGCGCUGCAAGUGGGUGUGAAGGUGCCCUAAACUGACAAAAAAAUAACUGCAAACAAAAAACGAAAGGAAGAGGAAUCUUCUGACGAGCAGUUCGCACUUGCCGCUUAAGUCGGUGUGCGCGGAGACUUUACUGUGCUGUUCCUAACGGUAAAACUCUCUGACGAUAACAGGGACUUGACUUAAGGUGCUUUUGACCGCUUUAGGUGACGUUUAGUCAGAAUACGGAAAAGACGCUUGUAAUGCUGCUACCUUUUCCCGACAACUACCUCGCAUUACUAAACUUGUAGAGGUGCUUGGCUUACACACUCGGACGCGGGUUCAAUUCCCGCCAUCUCCAUCA
Molecule: transfer-messenger RNA, 376 nt
Filed under: Treponema sp.
Lineage: Bacteria; Pseudomonadati; Spirochaetota; Spirochaetia; Treponematales; Treponemataceae
Rfam family: transfer-messenger RNA
About the family: Bacterial tmRNA, also known as 10Sa RNA or SsrA, is named for its dual tRNA and mRNA-like properties. Its role is to liberate the mRNA from a stalled ribosome.
Source: RNAcentral